GCUGGGCGGCGUGCCUAAUACAUGCAAGUCGAACGCUUCUUUCCUCCCGAGUGCUUGCACUCAAUUGGAAAGAGGCAGUGGCGGACGGGUGAGUAACACGUGGGUAACCUACCCAUCAGAGGGGGAUAACACUUGGAAACAGGUGCUAAUACCGCAUAACAGUUUAUGCCGCAUGGCAUAAGAGUGAAAGGCGCUUUCGGGUGUCGCUGAUGGAUGGACCCGCGGUGCAUUAGCUAGUCAGGUGAGGUAACGGCUCACCAAGGCCACGAUGCAUAGCCGACCUGAGAGGGUGAUACGGCCACACUGGGACUGAGACACGGCCCAGACUCCUACGGGAGGCAGCAGUAGGGAAUCUUCGGCAAUGGACGAAAGUCUGACCGAGCAACGCCGAGUGAGUGAAGAAGGUAACGGAUCGAAAAACUCUGUAAGUACAGACAAGAACAAGGACGUAAGUAACUGAACGUCACCCUGACGGUAUCUAACCAGAAAGCACGGCUAACUACGAUA
This 507-nucleotide ribosomal RNA is filed under the name uncultured low G+C Gram-positive bacterium. Its description in RNAcentral is "bacterial SSU rRNA". It matches the Rfam family "Bacterial small subunit ribosomal RNA", at positions 38 to 508 of the family's 1533-position model. Lineage: Bacteria; Bacillati; Bacillota. The record is from RNAcentral.